Long non-coding RNA from Epinephelus fuscoguttatus (brown-marbled grouper), 693 nucleotides. RefSeq lists it as uncharacterized. The transcript is spliced from 3 exons. The record is from RefSeq and is a predicted model, not a curated record. NCBI's taxonomy places the organism in Eukaryota, Metazoa, Chordata, Actinopteri, Perciformes, Serranidae.
AACAAUGGUGCAGAAACACUGAGAUACUGAAGACCCGGAAAUGCUGACCAAUUAGAGCAGGCUUUUUCAGGAAGAGGCCUUUACAUAAAGAAGAAAUUUAUGCUGACGUUGUGAUGAUCUGAUCUCAGGUGUGUGUGAUUGUGUUGGAGGAAUCCGGCCCCCCAUCUUCCAAUCUGUCCAUCUCUCAGCGCUCUUGUAGCAGCGGAUGAGAGCCCCACCCUUCUGCAACAGGUGAUCACAGGACUCCUUUUCUGUUUAAUGGAAACAGGCCUGUCACACUGACCUGUGUGGCCGCCUCAGCUCCAGAGCCCCACGUCACGGAAAGAAGACCCAUCACAGUGCUUCACCUGCUGUUCCCAGCAUUCCCCGCUUAGCUGCUGUAAUCCUGGGGGCCAUGGACAAUAUAAACACACACAGUGGAUUACACUCAGUGUGUGCCUGUAUGUGUGUGUGUGUGAAGGGGGAUAAAAGAGAUGAAACAGAGGAGGACUAUUGCCGGUGCAGUGUAAUCCAUUUGCAAGAAGACCGUGUGUGUUUGUGUGUGUCCAUGAAGAGCCCUCUCACCAGGUAGGCCUAUUCAUCACUGAUGACGGUCUGUGUGCACGGGGCUUACUGUAGAUCCCUAGCUCACUCACUCACACACACACACACACACACACACACACACACACACACACACACACACACACACAC